Molecule: unclassified non-coding RNA, 343 nt
Filed under: uncultured bacterium
Lineage: Bacteria
Description: contains 16S-23S intergenic spacer region
Source: RNAcentral
UCCAACUUAUCGCUGGCAACUAACGAUAAGGGUUGCGCUCGUUGCUGGACUUAACCAAACACCUCACGGCACGAGCUGACGACAGCCAUGCAGCACCUAUACAGAGACCCUUUCGGGAAAUGCUAUCUCUAGCAUCGUCCUCUGCAUUUCGAGCCCAGGUAAGGUUCUUCGCGUUGCAUCGAAUUAAACCACAUGCUCCACCGCUUGUGCAGGCCCCCGUCAAUUUCUUUGAGUUUUAACCUUGCGGCCGUACUCCCCAGGCGGAUAACUUAAUGCGUUAGCUGCGCCACCAAAAGCCCAUGGCCCCUGACAGCUAGUUAUCAUCGUUUACGGCGUGGACUAC